This 301-nucleotide ribosomal RNA is filed under the name uncultured bacterium. RNAcentral describes it as "partial 16S ribosomal RNA". It matches the Rfam family "Bacterial small subunit ribosomal RNA", at positions 509 to 807 of the family's 1533-position model. The record is from RNAcentral.
CAGUAGCCGCGGGAAUACGUAGGUGGCAAGCGUUGUCCGGAAUUAUUGGGCGUAAAGGGCUCGCAGGCGGUUUCUUAAGUCUGAUGUGAAAGCCCACGGCUCAACCGGGGAGGGUCAUUGGAAACUGGGAAACUUGAGUGCAGAAGAGGAGAGUGGAAUUCCACGUGUAGCGGUGAAAUGCGUAGAGAUGUGGAGGAACACCAGUGGCGAAGGCGACUCUCUGGUCUGUAACUGACGCUGAGGAGCGGAAGCGUGGGGAGCGAACGGGAUUAGAUACCCGCGUAGUCCCUGUCUCUUAUAC